UUUGAUCCUGGCUCAGAGUGAACGCUGGCGGUAGGCCUAACACAUGCAAGUCGAACGGCAGCACAGAGGAGCUUGCUCCUUGGGUGGCGAGUGGCGGACGGGUGAGGAAUACAUCGGAAUCUACCCUGUCGUGGGGGAUAACGUAGGGAAACUUACGCUAAUACCGCAUACGACCUACGGGUGAAAGCAGGGGAUCUUCGGACCUUGCGCGAUUGAAUGAGCCGAUGUCGGAUUAGCUAGUUGGCGGGGUAAAGGCCCACCAAGGCGACGAUCCGUAGCUGGUCUGAGAGGAUGAUCAGCCACACUGGAACUGAGACACGGUCCAGACUCCUACGGGAGGCAGCAGUGGGGAAUAUUGGACAAUGGCCGCAAGCCUGAUCCAGCCAUACCGCGUGGGUGAAGAAGGCCUUCGGGUUGUAAAGCCCUUUUGUUGGGAAAGAAAUCCAGCUGGCUAACACCCGGUUGGGAUGACGGUACCCAAAGAAUAAGCACCGGCUAACUUCGUGCCAGCAGCCGCGGUAAUACGAAGGGUGCAAGCGUUACUCGGAAUUACUGGGCGUAAAGCGUGCGUAGGUGGUCGUUUAAGUCCGUUGUGAAAGCCCUGGGCUCAACCUGGGAACUGCAGUGGAUACUGGGCGACUAGAGUGUGGUAGAGGGUAGCGGAAUUCCUGGUGUAGCAGUGAAAUGCGUAGAGAUCGGGAGGAACAUCCAUGGCGAAGGCAGCUACCUGGACCAACACUGACACUGAGGC
Molecule: ribosomal RNA, 751 nt
Filed under: uncultured Stenotrophomonas sp.
Lineage: Bacteria; Pseudomonadati; Pseudomonadota; Gammaproteobacteria; Lysobacterales; Lysobacteraceae
Description: bacterial SSU rRNA
Rfam family: Bacterial small subunit ribosomal RNA
Source: RNAcentral